This 359-nucleotide long non-coding RNA is filed under the name Papio anubis (olive baboon). Its description in RNAcentral is "lncRNA (ENSPANG00000044912.1)". Lineage: Eukaryota; Metazoa; Chordata; Mammalia; Primates; Cercopithecidae. The record is from RNAcentral.
CCUCAUUGGGAUCGUCUUCAUGUAUUAGAGAAGUUCCACACACAUUGAGCCUCACAAAGGAAGGGGUCUGGGUAUCAGAUUCCCUCUUCGCAGGAAGUGCCUUUGGAAAUUUACUUACUGCCGACUGAGAAGCUCUGCAAGCUGAAAGGUUAUUACCAAGAGCACAGUUUCAUCUGGACCUGCAGGCUGGUGAGGCCAGGAGAGAUUCACUCAGGGGCCAGUCCAAAAAACAGAACCUGGCUAGGAAUUUCAAACAGGUAACUUUUGAGAAAGGGUUUCAUUGGGGGUUUAGUGAACGUUAAAAAACUGCACAUAUUCAAAGUACACAAUUUGGUAAGUUUUGGCAUAAGUACACGCCC